CAGAGAAUAGUUUAAAUAAAAUUUUAAUUUUGGAGAUUAGUGAUAGGGUAAUACUCUUUCUCUGA
This 65-nucleotide transfer RNA is filed under the name Drilaster sp. FM16. Its description in RNAcentral is "tRNA-Pro". Lineage: Eukaryota; Metazoa; Arthropoda; Insecta; Coleoptera; Lampyridae. The record is from RNAcentral.